ACCUGAAUGGCUCAGUCAGAGAGCGUGAGACUCCUGAUCUUCGAGUUGUGAGUUCAAGCCUCACAUUGGGUG
This 72-nucleotide transfer RNA is filed under the name Canis lupus familiaris (dog). It matches the Rfam family "tRNA". From Rfam's summary of the family: Transfer RNA (tRNA) molecules are approximately 80 nucleotides in length. Their secondary structure includes four short double-helical elements and three loops (D, anti-codon, and T loops). RNAcentral also lists the same sequence under 1 other name. The record is from Rfam by way of RNAcentral. Lineage: Eukaryota; Metazoa; Chordata; Mammalia; Carnivora; Canidae.